This 22-nucleotide microRNA is filed under the name Python bivittatus (Burmese python). Its description in RNAcentral is "pbv-miR-489-3p". Its record names the gene pbv-miR-489-3p. The record is from miRBase by way of RNAcentral. Lineage: Eukaryota; Metazoa; Chordata; Lepidosauria; Squamata; Pythonidae.
GUGACAUCUUAUGUACGGCUGC